RNAcentral lists this ribosomal RNA (227 nucleotides) under uncultured Bacillus sp. RNAcentral describes it as "partial 16S ribosomal RNA". It matches the Rfam family "Bacterial small subunit ribosomal RNA", at positions 328 to 547 of the family's 1533-position model. Lineage: Bacteria; Bacillati; Bacillota; Bacilli; Caryophanales; Bacillaceae. The record is from RNAcentral.
GGCCCAGACUCCUACGGGAGGCAGCAGUAGGGAAUCUUCCGCAAUGGACGAAAGUCUGACGGAGCAACGCCGCGUGAGUGAAGAAGGUCUUCGGAUCGUAAAGCUCUGUUGUUAGGGAAGAACAAGUAUCGGAGGAAAUGCCGGUACCUUGACGGUACCUGACGAGAAAGCCACGGCUAACUACGUGCCAGCAGCUGCGGUAAUACGUAGGUGGCAAGCGUUGUCCG